CGACCUCGGAUCAGGCGAGACUACCCGCUAGAUUUAAGCAUAUCAGCAAGCGGAGGAAAAGAAACUAACUAGGAUUCCCUCAGUAGCGGCGAGCGAACAGGGAGGAGCCCAGCACCGAACCCCGUCGGCGGGAGCCGUCGACCGGGGAAUGUGGUGUUCGGGAGGAUCCGAUCAUCCCGCUCGCGGUUCUCCGAGCGUCGGCCUUCGGGUCGGCGCCCGGGGCCCGUGCACGGUCCAAAUGCAGCGAGUGGGCCUAAAAAACCCCGUCCUGGAACGGCUUCCCCCGUUAUCGGAUUCCGUAGAGGGUGAAAGACCCGUGGAGGCCGGCACGGAGCGGCGGGAGGAUCUCUCCUAAGAGUCGGGUCGCUUGGUAGUGCAGCCCUAAGAGGUGGUAAACUCCAUCUAAGGCUAAACAUCGCCGCGAGACCGAUAGAGGACAAGUACCGUUCGGGAAAGUUGAAAAGGACUCUGCAGAGAGAGUUAAAGAGUACGUGAAACCGUUCGGGGGUUCGGCACAGAACAAACGGUCGGGGCUCGGGCGAGACCCUCCGGGCAGGAGGAUCCGUCAGCCGUCCCGAGGCCCGCGGGCCGUCUGCGCGCUUGCUUGCGUUACAGCUUGCGAGGGGUUGCCCUGGGCCUAACCAUGAGCGUUGACGAUGCGGCCCGCGGAGCGCGGGGCGGCGGCCAUGAACGGAGCCCUCGCGGCCACCUCGAUCCCCGCCCGCGGAGGCACCCGCGACUCGCGGUGCGGCGGUCCGCCCGUGGAGGCCCCCCUCGGGGGUCACCUCCGCGGGAGCCGGUCUUCGCCAGGCACCGCGGUCGAGAAUCGGCCGGGCGGCGCCUUCGGGCGCUCGUGCCCGGUCGGCGGGAGAUCUACCGGGACCCCUACCGACCCGUCUUGAAACACGGACCAAGGAGUCUAGCGUGCGCGCGAGUCAUCGGGAACACGUACUAAACCCCGAGGCGCAAUGAAAGUGAGCGCUCAGCGCAAGGGACGAAACAACGGGGCCGGGGGAAACGGGGGCAACUCCGCGCGUACCCCGGCGGUGUCCGUCCUAGCUGCGGCCCGUUGCAGCAAUCCCGGGGCGCCGAGCAGAUACCCGCCACCCAGGGCGGCGAGCGAGGCGCUCUCGAAGCGUGCACGGUAGGACCCGAAAGAUGGUGAACUAUGCCCGGCCAGGACGAAACCAGGGGAAACCCUGGCGGAGGUCCGCAGCGGUUCUGACGUGCAAAUCGAUCGUCCGAGCUGGGUAUAGGGGCGAAAGACCAAUCGAACCAUCUAGUAGCUGGUUCCCUCCGAAAUUUCCCUCAGGAUAGCUGGCGCUCGAUCAGCGCGGACCGUACGACGAGUUCCGCGCCGGCUCGCAAUCCCAUCCCCGGUAGAGCGAAUGAUUAGAGGCUUCUCGGGGCCGCAACGGUCUCGACCUAUUCUCAAACUCCGAACGGGUGAGACCGGGGGCUUUCCCGGCGGACGAAGCCCGGCGGCCGUCCCCUCGGGGUCGGCCGCGCGACACCGACGGAUGAGAGCUGAGCCCAGUGGGUCCGUUCUGGUAAGCAGGACUGACGAUGCGGGGUGAACCGAACGCCGGGUUAAGGCGCCUAAAUCGCUACCGAAAUUACAGACACCCGUUCAAUGGUCGGACGCCGGCGUGCGACAGCAGGACGGUGGCCAUGGAAGUUGGCAUCCGCUAAGGAGUGUGUAACGACUCACCUGCCGAUGCCGGUGGUUCCGAAAAUGUCUGGCGCUAGGAGUAGCGUGCCGAUACCCGGCCGUCAGCGGUAGAGCACGGGCGACGUCGCCGCGCGAGCCGCUCCCCGGCGCCCGGUCAAACGGGCCGAGGAGCGCGCCAGCGGCGGGAACGCGCCUCGGGUAGACCCUGACGAGUAGGAGGGCGCGGCGGUGAGCGCAGAAGGGUUCAGGGCGCGAGCCCGCCCGGAGCCGCCGUCGGCGCAGAUCUUGGUGGUAGUAGCAAAUACUCUGGAGAGGUCCUGGAGGACUGACGCGGAGAAGGGUUUCUUGUCAACAGCCGUUGCACAAGUGUUAGUCGAUCCUAAGCCACGGGCGAAGGCCCUACAACGCGGACCCCACGAUGAUCCCCGCUUCGCGGAGGAGAGGCGGUCGCGACCCGGGGCUCGGCCCCUCGGCGCCGCUCGGGAGCCCUCCGGGGUUCCCGAGGCGCGGGGGCAAGCAUCGGGCGAGGCCCGUCGGCGGUCCCCCGGCCCUUCGCCGAGGUCGCCUCCGACUCAGACGCUCCCCGCCCGCGCCCCUUCGGCGCGGCUCCGACCCGCCUCGCGCGGAGCCCGUACUCCAAACCCGGCGCCGCAACUACCCGAGCGGCCGUUUUCACCCGUAACAUGUGCGGCUCCCUCGGAGCUCGCACGGGGCGGCCCCGGAGCGGACGCGCUAGCUCUCUCGAGCGAGCACUUAGCCGGGGCGGACUCCGCCGACCGGGACCCGGACCGCGCUGGGCGCGGGGACUCAACGGGAGAGCGUGGAGGCGGUCACCGGCGUCGGAUCGGGGCUCCGUACUUGCCAAACGGCGGUUUAGCCUCGCGCGCCCCGCGCUCCUCGGCGCUCAGACCAGAGCCCCGCAGCGCGCGCACCGAGCGGCUCGCCGUUCGCGCGACUCGGCCGAGGGGUUGCCGGGACGCGCCCGCCCUCCGUCGCCAGGGGAUCGUAAAGAUCGUACACGGUCCGGCACGGCGAAAGGGAACCCGGUCAAGAUUCCGGGACCCGGCGAGUAGGAAACGUUCACCUGCCAGGUCCGUACGACUCGUCGGAGCGAUUCGACAACCAGCCCGGAGAAGCCGGCGGAGGACCCGUGGAGAGUUGUCUUUUCUGUUGAAGCGACCGAGCAUCCCUGGAACGCGUAUGGCGCGGAGAUAGGGGCGGUGGUCGCGAGGAGCACCGGUCGUCGGCGGUGUACGGGUCUCCUCCCUCGGACCGUGAAAAUCCCGGCUGAGGCUCCUGGUUCGGUGGUUUCCGAAGCCGGUUCGUACCGAGUAUCCGCAGCAGGUCUCCUAGGUGAACAGCCUCUGGUCACGUGGAACAAUGUAGGUAAGGGAACUCGGCAAACUCGAUCCGUAACUUCGGGACAAGGAUUGGCUCUGAGGAUCGAGGCCGGUCUGGCCGGGCGGCCGCAGCGCCUUCCGUGCGGGCGGGCAACCGUUCGCGGGGACCGUCCGCCGGGGCCGCGGCCGCGUCACUCCUGACGCCGGCCGGACGCGCCGUCAGGCGGGCAAUCGCCGGGGCCCUCGGGUCCCGGAGACCCCGCCGGCGUUAUCCGCGGCAGAAGGGGCCGGCCAACCCCGGGAGGUCCGCGGGGCGGCGCUCGCCCGGCGCUCUCGGGCGUCGGGCCGCGGCGCUGCCCCGUCUCCCAAACGCUCUGCGCUCGCUUGCCCUCGCGGGCGGCGGCCGGGCAAAUUAACGACCGCGCCAACAAACCCUGGUCGUGCUCAGAACUGUUCUCGGACCCGGGGAAUCCGACUGUUUAAUUAAAACAGAGCAUCGUGAAGGCCGCACAUUACCGGCGUAGACGCGAUGUGAUUUCUGCCCAGUGCUCUGAAUGUCAACGUGAAGAGAUUCAAGCAAGCGCGGGUAAACGGCAGGAGUAACUAUGACUCUUUUAAGGUAGCCAAAUGCCUCGUCAUCCAAUUAGUGACGCGCAUGAAUGGAUCAACGAGAUUCCCUCUGUCCCUAUCUACUAGUGUUGAGCGAGCUCUCGUGGAGUAAGGACGUGUACUCGGCAACGCUCCGUGUUGCAGCGCGAUAACUUCGGCAGUUUUAGUGGAAUCAAAUCGUGCGAUACGUCAAUCGACGCGUCUCGUCGCCGCGGUUAUUUUGAUAUAUCGGUCGUCAAAAUCGGACUAAAAGUGUAAAAGUUAUGGGACCUCAAAGUUCGGUUUUUGGCCCAUUUAAUUAACAUAGAGUGUGAAAACGUGCGAAAACCUCGUGGCAGGUGUCGUAUUU
This is a ribosomal RNA of Gossypium arboreum, 3970 nucleotides long. It matches the Rfam family "Eukaryotic large subunit ribosomal RNA". Lineage: Eukaryota; Viridiplantae; Streptophyta; Magnoliopsida; Malvales; Malvaceae. The record is from Rfam.